CAAAUUAAUAAGAAAAAGACAACCCAGAAGAAAAAUGGACACGUGAAUUAAUCAGAAACUCAAGAGGUGGCGUAUAUUUGAGCAUGGAUCUAAAUGAGGUGAAGGAUUGAGAUGGCUGCUUGGGGAAGAACUUUCCAGGCAUGAAUGAAUGCCUGAAUUGAGCAUCUCCACUUCCUGAUAUGAGAGAAGAGACGUAACAAAGAUUCCUCCAGAACCAAAAGGAUCCGAGAUAAGGCUAACUUGAUUAACGUGCUUAAUGUGAAUGCCACACCUUGGGUUUCCCAGGAAGAAGACUCUCAGAUGAAGACCAGUGUUUAGGAAGCUUAUUAGGAAUGCUUGCGGGAUCAACACCUGCUGGGGAAGAAAGGCAGCAAGAUUGGGCAGAGGACAGAGUUGGGCUAUGGUGCAGUCUCAGUGGAGGUUUCCAUCGGCCAUCGGGAGUUCUGAAGCUGGGCUGGCCCUUCGGGGUGGUCCCAAGUUGGGGGCUGGAUCUUUAUGCCUCGCCUUAGUCCAUCAUUAGAUGUUGGCCAUCCCAGGAAGGAGUAUGACCUUGGGUGAGGUGGCUCCCCUCUGCCACAGUAGUCCUUGGCAGCUGAGGGCUACUUAAAUGAUUUCAACUUCUUCCUUUUGUUCCCCCAGCACCAGGAGUGAUGGUUCCUCAGCAGUGGAGGGAGGGAGUCCUUCCUUCCUGAAGGGGAUCUGGGUGGGCCAGUUCACUGUUCAUCACCGUGAGACAAGGUGGCACAUGGUGAUGGGGAGCACAACAUGCUGGGGUGGGUGGGGGUGGGCAGUCAAUAGAUGCAGGUCUAAACCUUGCUGCAUUGGAGAGAAGAUAAGAGAAAAAGUUGCUGAGUUGGUUUCCUGGGCCUAUGUGCUCUCAGAGUCCUUUCCUUUUCUUAGCUUGCCCAGUGGUGCUGACACCUGCAGGCUGCAUCUCUCAAACUCCCCAUCAGUUGGUUUCUGGCAGGUUUGACCAGGAGAAACCACUGAUCAGACAUAAGCAGGAGGAAACCAGAGAAACCAGAGUAUUUCCAUCCUUCCUCUUCGCCUUGGGCAGGAACUCCAUUAGCAGCUUGUCUUCUCCCUUGUUCUAACUCUCCUAUGCAGGCUCACUGUGGUUCCAGCUCCCAUAAAGGAAUCUCUCAGUCCCUGGCUCUGGCCACACCACUGUGGUAGAUGUGAGGUACUCAGGUCCUCUUUAAGGAAGGACUUGCUGCCCAACGGCAGGUGCUGCAGCCAGCAUCCAGCUGUCAGCCCCUACAGGGUCAGCCUUACUUGCAGA
RNAcentral lists this long non-coding RNA (1282 nucleotides) under Homo sapiens (human). Lineage: Eukaryota; Metazoa; Chordata; Mammalia; Primates; Hominidae. The record is from RNAcentral.